Molecule: ribosomal RNA, 415 nt
Filed under: uncultured bacterium
Lineage: Bacteria
Description: bacterial SSU rRNA
Rfam family: Bacterial small subunit ribosomal RNA
Source: RNAcentral
ACAGCCGCCGCGGUAAUACGUAGGGUGCGAGCGUUAAUCGGAAUUACUGGGCGUAAAGCGUGCGCAGGCGGUUUUGUAAGCCAGAUGUGAAAUCCCCGGGCUUAACCUGGGAACUGCAUUUGGGACUGCAAGGCUAGAGUACGGCAGAGGGGGGUAGAAUUCCUGGUGUAGCAGUGAAAUGCGUAGAUAUCAGGAGGAAUACCGAUGGCGAAGGCAGCCCCCUGGGUCGAUACUGACGCUCAUGCACGAAAGCGUGGGGAGCAAACAGGAUUAGAUACCCUGGUAGUCCACGCCCUAAACGAUGUCAACUAGUUGUUGGGAGCCUUACCGCUCUUAGUAACGCAGCUAACGCGUGAAGUUGACCGCCUGGGGAGUACGGUCGCAAGAUUAAAACUUAAAGGAAUUGGCGGGGGAC